RNAcentral lists this ribosomal RNA (319 nucleotides) under Acidimicrobiia bacterium. RNAcentral describes it as "partial 23S ribosomal RNA". It matches the Rfam family "Bacterial large subunit ribosomal RNA", at positions 2607 to 2925 of the family's 2925-position model. The record is from RNAcentral. Lineage: Bacteria; Bacillati; Actinomycetota; Acidimicrobiia.
GGGUUUAGAACGUCGUGAGACAGUUCGGUCCCUAUCCGUCGCGCGCGUAAGAGAUUUGAAGGAAGCUGUCCCUAGUACGAGAGGACCGGGAUGGACGAACCUCUGGUGUGCCAGUUGUCCUGCCAAGGGCAUGGCUGGUUUGCUACGUUCGGACGGGAUAAGCGCUGAAAGCAUCUAAGUGCGAAGCCUCUCCUAAGAUGAGAUCUCUCACCGGGUAACCGGGUAAGACCCCUGGUAGAAGACCAGGUUGAUAGGCCAGAAGUGGAAGUGCGGUAACGCAUGUAGCUGACUGGUACUAAUCGGUCGAGGGCUUGGACUU